CGCGUAGGUGGUAGUGUAAGUCUGGGGUGGAAUGCCGGGGCUUAACCCUGGAAUUGCCUUGGAAACUGCAUUACUUGAGUCAGUGAGGGGAGGGUAGAAUUCCUGGUGUAGCGGUGAAAUGCGUAGAUAUCAGGAGGAAGGCCUGUGGCGAAGGCGGCCCUCUGGUGCUGGACCGACACUGAGGCGCGAAAGCGUGGGGAGCAAACAGGAUUAGAUACCCUGGUAGUCCACGCCCUAAACGGUGGGCACUAGGUGUAGGGCUCGUAAGGGUUCUGUGCCGAAGGGAACCAUUAAGUGCCCCGCCUGGGGAGUACGGCCGCAAGGUUGAG
This 329-nucleotide ribosomal RNA is filed under the name uncultured bacterium. RNAcentral's name for it is "bacterial SSU rRNA". It matches the Rfam family "Bacterial small subunit ribosomal RNA", at positions 568 to 898 of the family's 1533-position model. The record is from RNAcentral.